This 643-nucleotide ribosomal RNA is filed under the name Paracoccus rhizosphaerae. RNAcentral describes it as "bacterial SSU rRNA". It matches the Rfam family "Bacterial small subunit ribosomal RNA", at positions 84 to 748 of the family's 1533-position model. The record is from RNAcentral. Lineage: Bacteria; Pseudomonadati; Pseudomonadota; Alphaproteobacteria; Rhodobacterales; Paracoccaceae.
CUUCGGGCCUAGCGGCGGACGGGUGAGUAACGCGUGGGAACGUGCCCUUUGCUACGGAAUAGUCCCGGGAAACUGGGUUUAAUACCGUAUGUGCCCUCCAUUUUGGUGAUGGUUGGGGAAAGAUUUAUCGGCAAAGGAUCGGCCCGCGUUGGAUUAGGUAGUUGGUGGGGUAAUGGCCUACCAAGCCGACGAUCCAUAGCUGGUUUGAGAGGAUGAUCAGCCACACUGGGACUGAGACACGGCCCAGACUCCUACGGGAGGCAGCAGUGGGGAAUCUUAGACAAUGGGGGCAACCCUGAUCUAGCCAUGCCGCGUGAGUGAUGAAGGCCCUAGGGUUGUAAAGCUCUUUCAGCUGGGAAGAUAAUGACGGUACCAGCAGAAGAAGCCCCGGCUAACUCCGUGCCAGCAGCCGCGGUAAUACGGAGGGGGCUAGCGUUGUUCGGAAUUACUGGGCGUAAAGCGCACGUAGGCGGACUGGAAAGUUGGGGGUGAAAUCCCGGGGCUCAACCUCGGAACUGCCUUCAAAACUAUCAGUCUGGAGUUCGAGAGAGGUGAGUGGAAUUCCGAGUGUAGAGGUGAAAUUCGUAGAUAUUCGGAGGAACACCAGUGGCGAAGGCGGCUCACUGGCUCGAUACUGACGCUG